GUUUGUUGUGUUUUAUUUUUAAGCAAAAUAGAACAACAGACAAAACUCUUCAUGAGGAAACAGAGAGUGGGCCACAACUUCACGCAGGGGUUAAUACGGAAAGUUGCACCAAACGUUUUCUCAUGAGCUAGAAGCUCCAAAAGUGAGAGAUAAUGUAACUGCUGAUAGUUGAUAUGGCAGCAAAAAUAAACUUUAUACAGAAGCCCAGGUAUUAUUUAACUAUGCUUUCUAUUUGCUGGGGGAUUUAAAUGGUGUUUGAGCCCAAGAAAGGAAAAAUAACAUCUAAAGCUUAUUCUCCAGGAAGAAAACAGGAAUCUCACACAUGGGCAUACCUGAGGCCUUAUUUGAUUAAAAAAAAAAAAAAAAAAGAGGAAACCUGACACCUUCCUAAAAAAAGAGGGCAGUGGGGAUUUUUAUAUCAGACAGGUAUAAAACAGACAGCUAAAUGGAUAAAGAGAUUGAAAUAAAGCACUGACAUUGAAAAAUGACAACAAAUCUAAUUUUAGAUGAAUAUAGUAUCCUAAGGUCAAUAUAGAAUUUUUCUGAGUAUAAGAAUAAUUCUGGUUAACAAAGCUGACCAUGUGCAUAACUAAAAGAACCAGGCAUAUUAAAACACAUGGAACGCUUCCUACAUUACAUCUGGAGUAUCUCUGACUGUCAUAUUCAACAAGGUAUUGUACACAUUCAGAGGACAAAGCACCGUGCUAGAUAGUACAGGAAAUCUACUAAAAUAUUCUGUCCUCCUAUAAACACACACAAAAUAACAUGGGCACAAAGCAUCCCAAAAUUCAUGCCAAAUAAAACAGAGAGUGAAUACCUGGGCAGAAGUAUAAAGAAAAACAUCCUGGAGGAGGUGAAGGUCAAUAUGGUCUAAUGGGACGUGGAUAUUAGACGUUGAGAUGGACUAAGGGAAGCAUUUCUGGGAAACUAGAUGUAUACACUAGAUGUACAUAUGUAGGAGCAGAGGCAGGCACAUAUGGAGCUUGGAGAAUAGCAAUCAGUUUAGUUUAAUGAGUCAUUUAGGAGGAAUGACUCAAGCAAUAACCAGUGAUAAAACGUAAAAAAAAAAAGUCUCAAAUUCCAUCAGAGAGAGCCUGAAUGAACAGUAUUUUGCAGCUCCAUCUCCCUCAGGUCCACAGGCCAUAAUCGCUGCCCAGAGUAGCUUAAGUGUCACUUGCCCUGGUUCUUUCUCACCAACUCCCUACUCAUACCCCUUUCUACUGCACUUGUGGAACUGCUCUCCAAUUCCCAAGAAGCUUAUGUACAGGGUGGGGAAAAAGUAGGUUUACAAUUGUUCAUAUGGAAAAUAAUACAAUAAUAAAAGAAUAAACUAAGUGUUUCAUGUACUCACAACUGUAAACCUACUUUGCCCAACCCUGUAAUUGUGUCUUUCUCAAUUAUGCCAUCUCCAUCAUAAACAUCUGCAAUGGAGUCUGUUCUUUUUCCCUUUGCCUCUGCACAUCAGGAAAGGGAACAAUGUGAGCAUUUUCCUGAAUCCUUUCUGCAUCGUCCAAACUACCUUAUUACCCUAGUUCAUUACAACCAUGCCCUUUCCUCCAUAGGUCUCACCAUGUAGGUGAACCCCAAUUCACUUUCUACAAACUAAGGAAUUUGACAUCUGACUAUUAGUAAACUUACUCUUCCUUAAUUGCUACAAAUUUCAAUGUCAGUAUUGGUGGAUCAUCCUACUUAGUUCAUGGCCUCUUAAGCUGUCUUCCAUCACCAGAGUACCUUGUCAUUGCCUGAAACAUCACCACAUCAGAAAGAUAAAACUUUAACACCCCAUCCUCUGAUUAUAACAUCCCCUCUCUGUGCAUCUGACUCCUCACAUAAAUAUCCUAGCCUCAUUUACUUGCCAUCCGCCAUAGACUACCUGAUGAACCACCUGAGCUACACUUUCACCUACAAUCUCAAUCAUUUUUUAUCCUUAAUCUUCCAGUUUAUAUGGUUCAUAAAACUACCAACUUGGAAUUAUUAUAAUAAUACCAUUUCUACUCCCAUGAGGGUUCUAAAGAAAAUACACCCUUCAAAAUUAUUCCAUUAUUAAUUACAGACUAUCUUCUCUUAUGAUUAGUUUUCUAAAUUUCUGUAAGCAAACCUGAAAUAAAUGAUCAGAAUUUGAAAAUGUGAGGCCUUUAUAUUGAAUAAAAAUGUCAGCCACUGUAACAGACUCUUGUCAGUUACUUCCCACCAUCCAUCUCAUACUUCUUGUACAGUUUAGCAGUCCUGGUGACUAGAUGGGAUCAAUUCCCAUAAGCUAACUAUAGGAGUGGGCCCUAAAUGACCUAAAACAAUAAGCAAAAUCUCACAACCUUACUACUGUGAUUGGCAAUAACUCAAGUUCAAACCACUCAGAGGCUGGAAUUACUUUAAUCAUAGGAACUGCUAAGGAGACUGGCUCAAAGCUGGUCCAGAGUGAAGUACGGGAGUCUCUUAGUCCACAGAAAGAAGAAAAUGCCUUUUUGUAUUUCCUUUUGCAAAAACCAAGAGUAUUGUUAUAUAUAGUAAUGAACAGUUUCAAAAUAACACAAAAAUGAACUAAAAAUACAAAAUGUAUGUAGGAUUUGUAUUCUAGAACCUACAUGACACAGAAAAGAAAUGAAAGUAGAUCGAACUAAAUAGAGAGGCUUACACAAUGUUCUUGGAUUAAAGGACUUAACACAGUAAAGAGGUCAAUUCUCAAAUUGAUCUAUACACUUAACAAAAUUCCAGUCAAAACCCAGUGGGAUUUUGUAGAUAUUGACAGACUGAUUCUAAAAUAUAUAAUAAGGCAAGGGAAUGAGAAUAGAAAACAAUUUUGAGCAAGAACAAGCUGGAGAACUGCUCUUUGAUUUCAGGACUUACUACAAAGCUACAGUAAUGAAGAUAGUGUGGCAUUGACGAAUGGAUAGAUAUUCAGAUCAAUGGAACACAGAGAGUCCAGAAAUACAGCUGCACAGAUAUAAAAAACUUAUUUUUUAACAAAGGCUCAAAAUGAACAGAGAAAUGAUAGUCUUUUCAACAAAUGAUGUUACAAUAGUUGAAUAUCUAUAUGCUGAAAAGAGAAAAAGAAAAAGAAAAGAAACCUAGACCUAAACUUUAUACCUUUAACAAAAAUCAAAUCAAAAUUAGUAAUAGAACUAAAUACAAAUGAAAAGCUUAAAACCUUUUUUAAAAAACCCAUUGGAUAAUAUCUUCAUGAUCUGGGGUUAGAUAAUGACAUCUUUGAUGAGAUACCAAAGAACAAUCCAUAAAAGAAAAACUUUCUAAAUUACAGCUUAUUAAAAUUAAAAACUUUUACUCUAUAAAAUACAGUUAAGAGAAUAAAAAGAUAAGUCACACUCUGGGAGAAAAUAUCUGCAAAUUACAUCAGACAAAGAAUUUAUACAUAGAAUAUAUCAAUAACUAUGAAUACUCAACAAGAAAACAAACAAUCGAAUUUAAAUAUCAGCAAAGGACUUAGACAGGUCACUAGUCAGGACCUACACAUGGCAAAUUACAUGAUAAGCUCCUUAACAUCCAGCAACAUAAGAAAAAUGUAGAUUAAAAACAAAAUGAGAUAUCACUAGAUGCCUACUAGAAUGGCUAAAAUAAAUAUGGACAAUACUAAGUGGAGGUGAGAAUGAAGAGCAAACAAAACCCCCAGGCACUGGUGGGAUGGGAAAUGGUACAGCCACUCUGGAAAAUUAUUUGGAAACUUCUUAUAACAUUAAACAUAUACUUACCAUAUGACUCAGCAAUCACUUUCCUACACACAAGAGAAAUGAAAGCUUCAUGUUUACACAAAAACCUGUAUGUGAAUGUUUCAUUCAUAAUGACUCAAAAUGGAAAACAAGCCAAAUAGCAUUCAGUGAGUGAACAAACUAUAGUACAUCCACACUGUGGACUACACUAAUCAAUAAAAAGGAACUACUAGUAUGUAUCAAAGUUGGCUGAAGCUCAAAGGCAUUAUGAUAAGUGAAAGCAGGUGGUCUCAAGAGAAUGCUUCCAUUUUUAUGACAUUCUCAAAAAGCCAAACUAUAGUGACAGAGAAUAGAUCAGUAGUCACAAGGUGUUAGUGAUGAGGGAGGGAGUAACUAUCAUGAAAUAGCAAAAGGCAUCUUUUUGGAGGAAUGAAGCUAACUGCUCUAUAUCUUGAUUGUGGUGCAGUUUUCAUAACCUGUGCAAGGGGCAAAACUGCUGGAACUGUACACCCAGAAAGUCUGUUUUACAUAUGUUAGCCAACAUUUUUAAUAGAAUGCCCUUACUGAUAUCCAGACAGUGACAGUUGUGUUUGCUCCUGCCUCCAUCCUACUUUAAAGUGAAAAUAUCCAUGACAGAAGAUAACUGCACACUGAAUAGCACAUUUAUUUCCAUUAUCUGUGAACAUGCUGCCUCUUUCUAGCAGAAUGAUAAGCGCCAAAGGCUGAUGGGAGAUGGGGUUAUAGUACAAAGUCCCAGAGACACAGCUAGUCAUUUGAAUGUUUUAUUUCUUGAGCAUUCAAAAGAAAAAAAAAAGAAAGUAAUAAUGUAUUUUUCUGAUUCUUUAUAGUUACAUGAGAAGUAAAUGUAAAAGUGUAUUUUAGCUUAGUAUCUAGAAAAACACAGUUUAGCAACUAAAUAACAAAUUUGCUAAACAAAAAGAUGUAAAAUAUCAUCUUUUAUAUUUGUCAUUUACACUCAAAUCUCAAUGAUCUACACAGCAGAUUAACAUUCAUCAAUAAAUGCUAA
Molecule: long non-coding RNA, 4689 nt
Organism: Phyllostomus discolor (pale spear-nosed bat)
Lineage: Eukaryota; Metazoa; Chordata; Mammalia; Chiroptera; Phyllostomidae
Exons: 2
Source: RefSeq, a predicted model, not a curated record